GCCAGGUGUGGUGGUGCACAUCUGGAAUCCCAGUUACUUGGGAGGCUGAGAGAGGAGGAUCACUUGAGCCUAGGAGUUCAAGGCUUCAGUGAGCCAUGAUCACGUCACUGCACUCCAGCCUGGGCAACAGAGUGAGACCCUGUCUCUA
This 148-nucleotide non-coding RNA is filed under the name Pan troglodytes (chimpanzee). Lineage: Eukaryota; Metazoa; Chordata; Mammalia; Primates; Hominidae. The record is from Rfam by way of RNAcentral.